CCAACUGGUAUGUAACUUCAUUAAUCUGUGUUAUGAUUUUAAAUGUGCCAACAUACCUUGGGCUGAGCUUCCUGCUUGGUAGCCGCAGCUUGAGGUCCCGUGUGGAGAGCCAGACCCUCUGUCCAGGUUGGUAGGGAGGGUGUGGGCAACAUUGCCUGUUGGCCUGAAUCUCCUGGUUUCUGACAGCCCAUUGGAGACGUACAUGGGCACUUUCCCACACCCUCUCACUACAACGAAUCCAGUCAUCGACUGCAGGUUGCUGGCCUGAUCUUGUCUGAACAUGACUCAUAUCCUUAACGGUGACGUUUAUGAAUGGAUGUCACUCAUCUCUUGAAACUUCCAGCUGAAUUCAACGGAAAAAGGGUUUAUAUUUUGGAACACUCAACCUCCUUUCACGCUUCCCUCUUCUCUCUGAUGAUCAGAACAAAUCAGAAGAGUCAGCUUUAUGAGGGAUCCAGUGAAGCACUCCAAUUUUUGGAUGAUUAUUGUUGUGUUGGUAGGUAAAAACUGAUCACUGUGACCCAGAAAUAUCUUCAGGAUUGUUGUGCAAUCAUCACAGGUGACUCCCAUUCCAGUUUUUCCAGCCCAGCAGUGUGGGGGUUGUCUUAGCUGGCCUUUGUGCCAUCCAUUGCACUGGAGAACACACCCUAUUAAAAUGCAUGCCUUCAUAAGACCAACGCUCCACACACCUCCACAGUCAGAGGUCAGGAUUUAGCAUAUGCUAUGACAGAACAUCCGAAAAAUGUACAGAGCUCAAAUCUUAAGUGUCAUGACUGUCAUGGUGUCUAUUUACUGGAGUUAUGAAAAUGAUGUGGGAAAAACAGAGCAGUUUUCAUUCAGUGUUUCUCACUGGGAGUGUCCGCAGAAAUCCAGCUCCACUGGUGUGGGCGGUUUAAUGCCACUGACAUGGAGUCCCAACAGCCAGUAUCCUUUCUUACAAAGCCUCAGGAAAGCAAGGCCAGUAUCUUAAGUGCCUGCAGCUACUGUUGUAAUCCUACACAGACUCGGGAGAUGUGAAUAUCUGUGAGAGAGGAAAAGUAUGUGCUGUCAACAUUGUGCCUGAAGCCACUUUCGUGAAAACUAAAAAGAAAACUUGGUUGUGAUCUACUGAGUCUUGAUUUAACAAAAAGUUCAC
Cyprinus carpio carpio is the source of this 1135-nucleotide long non-coding RNA. The record is from Ensembl. Lineage: Eukaryota; Metazoa; Chordata; Actinopteri; Cypriniformes; Cyprinidae.